RNAcentral lists this ribosomal RNA (254 nucleotides) under uncultured bacterium. Its description in RNAcentral is "partial 16S ribosomal RNA". It matches the Rfam family "Bacterial small subunit ribosomal RNA", at positions 524 to 776 of the family's 1533-position model. The record is from RNAcentral.
UACGUAGGGUGCGAGCGUUGUCCGGAAUUAUUGGGCGUAAAGGGCUCGUAGGCGGUUUGUCGCGUCGGGAGUGAAAACCCAGGGCUUAACCCUGGGCUGGCUUCCGAUACGGGCAGACUAGAGGUAUGCAGGGGAGAACGGAAUUCCUGGUGUAGCGGUGAAAUGCGUAGAGAUCCGGCGGAACACCGGUGGUGAAGGCGGUCUCCUGGGCCGAGGGCCGACGCUGAGGCGCGAGAGCGUGGGGAGCGAACCGG